GGUAAAAUGGCAGAGUAAAAGUUAGACUGUAAAUCUAUGAACAGAGGUUCAGGCCCUCUUUUCACCA
This 67-nucleotide transfer RNA is filed under the name Felis catus (domestic cat). It matches the Rfam family "tRNA". From Rfam's summary of the family: Transfer RNA (tRNA) molecules are approximately 80 nucleotides in length. The record is from Rfam by way of RNAcentral. RNAcentral also lists the same sequence under 2 other names. Lineage: Eukaryota; Metazoa; Chordata; Mammalia; Carnivora; Felidae.